Long non-coding RNA from Danio rerio (zebrafish), 2000 nucleotides. The record is from Ensembl. Lineage: Eukaryota; Metazoa; Chordata; Actinopteri; Cypriniformes; Danionidae.
GAGUGUUCAUGUCCAUGAUAAAAGUAUAAACAAACAAACAAACAAACAAACAAACAAACAGUGUUACACAUUCUGUCCUGAACACACUCUGCAGUGUGCAUCUAGUGAGCAGUGAGCAAGUGCUCCAUCCUGAACACAGCCGGUGUGUGUGUGUUUAAGUGUGUAUGGCUCCUCCCACUGAGGGCAGGGCUUUAUCAGCUAUAGAUCAGCUUUCUCUCACCACACACACACACAUACACACACACACACACACACACUCAGGGAGGAGUCGUGUGCUGGUGUCCGAGGCUCAUUCAGGAUGAAAUGUGUGUGAAAGCUUGAGGAGAUGUUGAGGAAACUGGUGUGCCGGAGGAUCUGUGCAUAUAAGAACAUUGAUGAUGAAGACUCAGUGGAUGGAGGUCGAUCCUCAUCAUCCUCUAAAGGAGCUUCAGUACGGAGAACAGGAUCCACACGCAGACCCAGCUCCGCCUCCAGCAGACCAAGCUCCGCCUCCAGGAGACCAAGCUCUGGUAAAGAGAGCUGUGGUGCCGGAGCUGUGGAUGAAGAAGACUUCAUUCGUGCCUUUGAAGAUGUGCCGACUGUACAGAUAUACUCAGCCCGAGAGCUGGAAGACUCCAUCAAUAAGGUCCGGGAGAUUCUGUCUGAUGAAAAACACGACUGGGAGCAGAGAGUGGCCGCUCUGAAGAAGGUUCGCUCUCUGCUGUUGGCCGGCGCGGGCGAUUAUGAUGGUUUUUGUCAUCAUUUGCGGCAGCUGGACGCAGCUUUCAAGCUGUCGGCUAAAGAUCUGCGCUCUCAGGUGGUGCGCGAGGCCUGCAUAACACUCGGGUAUGUGUGUGUACACUCUAUAAAAUGCUGGGUUUCACACAAUUGGUUUGUGUGGAGUUUGCAUGUUCUCCCCGUGUUGGCGUGGGUUUCCUCCGGGUGCUCCGGUUUCCCCCACAGUCCAAACACAUGCGCUAUAGGGGAACUGAUGAACUAAAUUGAUGAGUGUGUAUGGGUGUUUCCCAGUUCUGGGUUGCAGCUGGAAGGGCAUCCGCUUUGUAAAACAUAUGCUAAAAUAGUUGGUGGUUCAUUCUGCUGUGGCGACCCUUCUUGAAUAAAGGGACUAAGCUGAAGGAAAAUGAAUGAUCUUUAUUUACAAAUGCCUAGUUAUAGAUAAGUUUGCUUUGUUCAUACAUAAUAAAAGUCUUCUUUUGUGAUGAUUUCCUGAUAUCUGCUCAGCUUUAGCUCCAUCUGUAGAGUUUAACACCGCUGCAGAGCCACUGCUGACAGAUGCUGACAGACUCACUUUAAUGAAAACAGCCAAUUACUCUAAGUGUUCUGCUUUUAAACACUGGACACGUUCCAACACUGCACACACACACAUACACACACACGCACGCACAUUCUACUGAUGGGCUGUGUUUCAAACUGUGCUUCACCGUCUACAUAGUCAACUACCUUGAAAGGCGACAUCACUGCAGAAAUAAAAUUAACAUAAAUAAAAUUAAAAUAAAUAUUGCAUUUAAAAAAGAGACAAAAAAUGUAUUUAUAGUCAGAAUUAUGCAAAGAUUAUUACUUAAAGCUUUAAUUAGAUUAAAGAUACACUUAAUAAGGGCAGCACCGUGGCUCAGUAGUUAGCACUGUGGCCUCACAGCAAGAAGGUUGCUGGUUUGAGUCCCGGCUGGGUCUGUUGGCUUUCCUGUGUGGAGUUUGAAUGUUCUCCCCGUGUUGGCAUGGGUUUCCUUCGGGUGCUCCGGUUUCCCCCACAGUCCAAACACAUGCACUAUAGGGGCACUGAUGAACUAAACUGGUCGUAGUGUAUGAGUGUGUGAAUGAGUGUGUAUGGGUGUUUCCCAGUUCUGGGAUGCAGCUGGAAGGGCAUCCGCUGUGUAAAACAUAUGCUGGAAUAGUUGGCGGUUCAUUACGCUGUGGCAACCCCUGAUGAAUAAAGGGACUAAGCCGAAGAAAAAUGAAUGAAUGAAUGAAUACACACAAUAAUGGUUAGAGUAGGGUGUUUU